Small nucleolar RNA from Erpetoichthys calabaricus (reedfish), 67 nucleotides. Its record names the gene SNORD58. It matches the Rfam family "Small nucleolar RNA SNORD58". Rfam says of the family: snoRNA U58 is found in introns 1, 3 and 6 of the ribosomal protein RPL17 gene in humans. U58 is a member of the C/D class of snoRNA which contain C (UGAUGA) and D (CUGA) box motifs. The record is from Ensembl. Lineage: Eukaryota; Metazoa; Chordata; Cladistia; Polypteriformes; Polypteridae.
UUGCAAUGAUGACCUUCUUAGGACACCUUUGGAUUUCACUAUGAAAACAUCUUUUAGUCUGAGCAAC